UACGUAGGGGGCAAGCGUUGUCCGGAUUUAUUGGGCGUAAAGAGCGUGUAGGCGGCUUUACAGGUCCGUUGGGAAAACUCGAGGCUCAACCUCGAGACGCCGGUGGAAACCGUAAAGCUAGAGUCCGGAAGAGGAGAGUGGAAUUCCUGGUGUAGCGGUGAAAUGCGCAGAUAUCAGGAGGAACACCCGUGGCGAAAGCGGCUCUCUGGGACGGUACUGACGCUGAGACGCGAAAGCCAGGGGAGCGAACGGG
RNAcentral lists this ribosomal RNA (253 nucleotides) under uncultured bacterium. RNAcentral describes it as "partial 16S ribosomal RNA". It matches the Rfam family "Bacterial small subunit ribosomal RNA", at positions 524 to 776 of the family's 1533-position model. The record is from RNAcentral.